UUACUGCGAGUUUUACGACUAAUUCGUUUAGAAGCUCUUGUGAUAGUUGUAACAAGACUUAACCUGGUACCUUUCACAUUAAUUUAUGUAAUUAAAUGAGAAGAAGUACACAACUUCUUUUUCCCUUUAUGCUCAUAAGCUUUCCAAGUUCAGCUCCAGAAAGAGGUAGGAAAACUAAACUUGUUUACUUACUUUUCUAUAUCGUAACUUAAAGAAAUGAUAGUUGUAACAAUUCUAUAUCGUAACUUAAAGAAAUGAUAGAACUGACGUGACGAAAGUUAAACGAGUCUGAAACCUAAA
Molecule: long non-coding RNA, 300 nt
Filed under: Nicotiana benthamiana
Lineage: Eukaryota; Viridiplantae; Streptophyta; Magnoliopsida; Solanales; Solanaceae
Description: long non-coding RNA (NBEN_LNC042494)
Source: RNAcentral